This 387-nucleotide long non-coding RNA is filed under the name Serinus canaria (Common canary). RNAcentral describes it as "lncRNA (ENSSCAG00000016908.1)". Lineage: Eukaryota; Metazoa; Chordata; Aves; Passeriformes; Fringillidae. The record is from RNAcentral.
CUCUCUUGGAGGCAAACACUGAAGGAGAAUGUGUGUUUGCUUGUAAAAGCUGAACCACAUUUCCUGUUUGUAAGAAAGAAGGUGAAAAAAAAAGACUGGAGGGAUUUGAGAUUAACAGCAACUCUAAAGACAGGUUCAUGCUGCCAGGCUCAAAAAAAGAGUAUCCAAUUUCUGCCAACGUAACUUGAUUUCCUGUUGGAUAAAGGAGAGGAGAGUAUUCCUGGAAGCAACAGAACCAGUUACAGGAAUGGACUGCCAUUUUUCUGUCUGGGGAGUUUUGGCCUUCCUGAGUUUGGCUCUGCUUGUUUCAGUGACACUGAAUAUUGUACACUGUAUGAAAAAGAAGCAAGGUAAGUAAUGUCUCUUUGUAAGGAAUCAAAUUUCAGU